GGCGCACUACACGUUGCGGGCGGCGGACAUCUUGGCGGCCAACUCGGGGCGGUAGGCGAAGCCCGGGUCGCGGAAAGAGCGCCCUUGGCGAUCCCGCUGGACAGGAGGAGGCCUUCGAGGGGCAAGUCGGGCCGCUGGGGAUACAGGUUUGAUCCCUGGUCCGGGAAGAUCCCAAGUGCCAUGGGGAAACAGCCCACGCGCCACACUGCUGAAGCCUGCUUGCCUAGUGCCUGUGCUCCACAACAAGAGAAGACACUGCAAUGAGAAGCCAACUCAUUGCAACUGGAGAAAGCCUGUGCACAGCAGCAAAGACCCAGUGCAGCCAAAGAUAAAUAAAGAGGACUCCUGUAACCCACUAUGAAGACUCAGGGGGAUACUACGUGUGUAAUUUGACGAAUCCACCAUAUGCCCUUGGUCCCGUGUAUUAUCACGUCGUAUCCCUGGAGUCUGCAGCAUCUAUCUGUGUCCUCUGUAGCCCUUUGGCAGUGCCUCUGAGGCCACAGCUGAGGUAGCUUGGCCCAUCUUGCUGACCACGGUUCCUGUCCUCAUGGUCUCAAGGUGGUUGUUUCAUGCAUCACUUGAAGCCAUACAACAUUUGGCUGAAGAUAUUGGCACCAGGGAGUGUUUGUUUCCUUUGACACUGUAACAAAUUGCCACAAAUUUUGUGGCUUGAAACAGCAAAAAUGUAUCAUCCCACAGCUGUGAAGAUCAGAAGGGAAAAUAUAUCUUUCCGGGCAAAAUAAACAUGUUGGCAGUUCUGCCUUCUUUCCAGUCUCUAGGGGAGAACCAGCUUCUUCGCCUUUUACAGCUUCUAGAGACUUCCUGCCAGUGGUGUAGCAUCUACAAGUCUCUCUCUGACUCUGACCUCGGCUUCAUCAUCACAUUGCCUCCACUGACUCUGAUUCUCCUGCUUCUUUUCUUUCUUUCUUUUGAAGAUAAUUGGAGGGGUCUUUUUUUUUGUUUUGCUGCGUUGGGUCUUAGUUGCCACAUGUGGGAUCUUCCUUCCAUCAUUCAGGAGCUUUCACUGCAGCGUACAGAUUCUCAACUGUGGCAUGCAGGCACAGGAGCACGCGGCUUCAGAAGCUGUGAUUUGUGGGCUUCUUUGCUCCGAGGCUCCCCAACCAAGAAUGAAACCUGCGUUCCCUGCAUUGACAGGUAGAUUCUUAA
Long non-coding RNA from Cervus elaphus (red deer), 1167 nucleotides. RefSeq lists it as uncharacterized. The record is from RefSeq and is a predicted model, not a curated record. NCBI's taxonomy places the organism in Eukaryota, Metazoa, Chordata, Mammalia, Artiodactyla, Cervidae. The transcript is spliced from 4 exons.